Molecule: long non-coding RNA, 1510 nt
Organism: Loxodonta africana (African savanna elephant)
Lineage: Eukaryota; Metazoa; Chordata; Mammalia; Proboscidea; Elephantidae
Exons: 3
Source: RefSeq, a predicted model, not a curated record
UAAAGCCAUUCCAAAGCUUCAUGCAAUACAAUUCUAGUCUGAUAAUUGUGUGUAGCCAUUAACUUUUAUCCAAAUUGAAAAGAAAAAGCAACUUUAUGUAGGAGCAAAAACCAGUUUCCUCCAUAUGAGUCAAAAUGAAGUCAUUCUGUCAUGGGAAGUGAGGUGCUUGUUACAUGGGAAAAUUAUCCCUUUUAGCCCAUCUCAGUCACUGCUAGGCUCAUUGCAGUAUCAAUGCCUUGAUUGUCCUGCAAUCUUCCCUGUAUGUCAGGAAGGUGGUGAGUAGUUGUUUCAUUCAUUGAAACAGUUAAAUUUGGAUAAAUUAUUUUUUGGAACUACCCAUAUGCCUUAGUCUGGAUAGUAUUUAUAGAUAAGACACAUUAUUAAUAGUGAAGAUUUUAUUUGACUAUUUUCUUAAACACAUUAUAUUUUCUUAAAGAAAAUUGUAAUCCCUCUUUAAAUCUCUUGUACUUUCUUGGCAGAACAAAGCUCACUCCCAACUAUGAAUGUCAGGCCUCUACCCUUCUGCUUACUGGUUUGGGCAGACACUGGUUGAAGUUCCAAUCUAUUGCUGGAUGCUUUCAUUCGUGUAUUUAAUGGAUUAUAUGUUAAACCUACAAGGGAAUAUAUUUAUAAGUGGAGAUCGCUUUGUUCAGAUCACCUUGAUUUCCACGUUCCUUUGAUGAUUAAUUGCUAUAGAUAAAUAGCAGUGUUUCCUGUCAGUUUCAUAAUUCUGCCUGCCACAUUGAUUGGUGUACAUUAUUACAUUUGGAGACUUUGGAUAUACAGUUGCCCAUAAAGAUUGAAAAAUGUCGCCUGUAUAGUAAGAAGAACGAAAGAAAGGCAAGAAACAAUGAUUGCUUAAUUCAGUAGUACUUCAAGCAGAAGCAAGAUACUGUUAAAAGGUAAGGGUUUGCCGAUGAAAGAUAGAAAUGAUAAUGAACUAUUAAUUGCCCAAUCUACUCAAGUGUAAGACUUGGAGAAUGAAAUAAUCUUGCAGCCACAUUGACAGCCAGAAGUCAAUUAGUAACGGAUUGCUUCGAUUUUAGAAUUUCCCCAAGCAGCAGCAGCAUGUGUCAAGAUCCAGAAGAACCGGAAGGAGAAUGUUCAGAUGGAAACAGUAAGCACAGCACAAGCCUUGACUGCCCAAACCUUGAGGAAGUAAAAUUUGCAAAGUAAUUAUUUUACCAAUAACAGAAAAUUCUGUCAGUUGAAAUAAACUGCCUACCAAUCUGUUUCUGAAAUGGUGACGUGUUGCUUUGUUUCAGCAGAUCUAAAGCCUUUUGGUCUAGGGUCCAUUUAUACUCUUAAAUAUUGUUGAAGGCUAUAACGGCCUUUGGUUUAUACGGGCUAAAUCUUUCAAUAUUUACCGUAUUGGACGUAAAACCAAGAAAUGUUUAAAAUAUGCACUUAUUAUUAAAUUAAAAAUGAAAAUAACAAUCCCAUUGCCUGUUAACAUAAAUAACAUUUUCCAUAAAGCAACUUUAUUUAAAAAAAAAAAAAUUAGUGGGGA